GAUGAACGCUGGCGGCGUGCCUAAUACAUGCAAGUCGAGCGAACAGACGAGGAGCUUGCUCCUCUGACGUUAGCGGCGGACGGGUGAGUAACACGAGGAUAACCUACCUAUAAGACUGGGAUAACUUCGGGAAACUGGAGCUAAUACCGGAUAAUAUAUUGAACCGCAUGGUUCAAUAGUGAAAGACGGUUUUGCUGUCACUUAUAGAUGGAUCCGCGCCGCAUUAGCUAGUUGGUAAGGUAACGGCUUACCAAGGCAACGAUGCGUAGCCGACCUGAGAGGGUGAUCGGCCACACUGGAACUGAGACACGGUCCAGACUCCUACGGGAGGCAGCAGUAGGGAAUCUUCCGCAAUGGGCGAAAGCCUGACGGAGCAACGCCGCGUGAGUGAUGAAGGUCCUCGGAUCGUAAAACUCUGUUAUUAGGGAAGAACAAAUGUGUAAGUAACUAUGCACGUCUUGACGGUACCUAAUCAGAAAGCCACGGCUAACUACGUG
RNAcentral lists this ribosomal RNA (497 nucleotides) under uncultured bacterium. Its description in RNAcentral is "partial 16S ribosomal RNA". It matches the Rfam family "Bacterial small subunit ribosomal RNA", at positions 28 to 507 of the family's 1533-position model. The record is from RNAcentral.